GACUUGGUAGCUCAGCUGGUAGAGCAUCUCCCUUUUAAGGAGAGGGUCCUGGGUUCGAACCCCAGCCAAGUCACAA
Molecule: transfer RNA, 76 nt
Filed under: Thiotrichales bacterium TMED285
Lineage: Bacteria; Pseudomonadati; Pseudomonadota; Gammaproteobacteria; Thiotrichales
Also listed under: 1 other name
Description: tRNA-Lys
Rfam family: tRNA
About the family: Transfer RNA (tRNA) molecules are approximately 80 nucleotides in length. Their secondary structure includes four short double-helical elements and three loops (D, anti-codon, and T loops). Further hydrogen bonds mediate the characteristic L-shaped molecular structure. tRNAs have two regions of fundamental functional importance: the anti-codon, which is responsible for specific mRNA codon recognition, and the 3' end, to which the tRNAs corresponding amino acid is attached (by aminoacyl-tRNA synthetases). tRNAs cope with the degeneracy of the genetic code in two manners: having more than one tRNA (with a specific anti-codon) for a particular amino acid; and 'wobble' base-pairing, i.e. permitting non-standard base-pairing at the 3rd anti-codon position.
Source: RNAcentral